GUUAGAGGCAGGUAUCCUAGUGGUUAGAGGCAGGUAUCCUAGUGGUUAGAGGCAGGUAUCCUAGUGGUUAGAGGCAGGUAUCCUAGUGGUUAGAGGCAGGUAUCCUAGUGGUUAGAGGCAGGUAUCCUAGUGGUUAGAGGCAGGUAUCCUAGUGGUUAGAGGCAGGUAUCCUAGUGGUUAGAGGCAGGUAUCCUAGUGGUUAGAGGCAGGUAGGCUAGUGGUUAGAGGCAGGUAUCCUAGUGGUUAGAGGCAGGUAUCCUAGUGGUUAGA
Oncorhynchus keta (chum salmon) is the source of this 270-nucleotide long non-coding RNA. RefSeq lists it as uncharacterized. The transcript has 3 exons. NCBI's taxonomy places the organism in Eukaryota, Metazoa, Chordata, Actinopteri, Salmoniformes, Salmonidae. The record is from RefSeq and is a predicted model, not a curated record.